AACUUUUUAAAUUUAGUUUUCCAUCCUUUACUCAACUGCAACUAGGUAAGAUGAAAUUGAAUAGAUUUACAUAACAAGUUGAGGAUAAUAUCUUGGAAAUAAUUGUAAAAUAAUAAACAAUUUUUUCUUAUUGCCUUAACGCGUGAGUACAAUAGUUAAAUUUCUGCGACAAUAAACUAGGUUUUAAAAACCUGAUCCUAGUUACACUAACGCGCUCUAGUGGCAAAAUUCUGUCCCGUCAUUUUCGUACAUUUCUAAAGCAUUGCGUGCGCUCUCCUGUUAUCCAGCUUCGUGGCUAUUGCAUUUAUUUCUCGUAUUGGUGACAACUAGUGCUGCCACCAUACGACUUAGUUAAAAAAUCUUCUUGCUAAAUGGGUUAUGCUAUUGGUCGGUCUAUUAGUAAUAAAGUCGUUGAUUGUGCACAAGUUUUUGGGGACGUAUCGACGUUUACCGGUCCUCGAUUGUUUUGUUGUUUCUUUUUAUAUUGGUGACAAGUAAUUAUUUAUUGAUAAGAAUGUACAUAUACAAUGUAUAGAAGUAAAAUAGGCUAAUAACAUCGUAAGGCAGACGACGGCCUCCUAAGUAUUAUAUAGAUUUGGAUACGUUCCAUGAACAGAUGAGCUAAAGGAAAAUAAGGAGAAAGAAGAGGUUGAUUGACAAAAGAGAUUUCUAAAAGGUUCAAGAAGAUAAUUUGAUAAAAGAAAAACAUAAAAAUAACAAAAGAUGUGGUACAGUACUCAUUGGCCUCAAAAAAAACUUCUCUUUGAUGAGAUAAAAAUAAUGAGAAGAAUAGAAGAAAGAUGUUUUAACAACGUAUCAUCAACAUAGAAAACAUAGUAUAAGAAAAAAUUAAAGUUUGAUAUCAGAAGAGGAGCGAAGCAAUUGUGUAGAUGCUUGAUAAAAGUAGGACAGGAUAAGAAGCACAAUUUUCAAAAGGAGAAUCAAGAGAUUAAAAAUUUGGAAAAGGUGGGUAGAAAGGAAUGGGUGCUGGGUUGGGCAGAAGCAGCACCAGUGGAGGUGGUCUGCUUGAGGCUCUUCCCACAGGAACGCCGCUUCAUGUAGCUAUGCUAGGUCUUGACAGCGCAGGAAAAACAACUGCCCUUUAUAGAUUAAAAUUUGAUCAAUAUUUGAAUACUGUACCGACCAUUGGUUUUAAUUGUGAAAGAAUUCGUGGUGGCAUUGGUAAAGCAAAAGGAGUAAAUUUUUUAGUUUGGGACGUAGGUGGACAGGAAAAGUUACGACCUCUGUGGAAGUCAUAUACCAGAUGCACAGACGGCAUUAUUUUUGUUGUUGAUUCUUGCGAUGCUGAAAGACUUGAAGAAGCAAAAAUGGAACUUACAAAAACAGUUAGGAGUCCUGAUAAUGCGGGUGUGCCCAUUUUAAUUCUUGCUAAUAAGCAAGAUUUAUUGGGUGCUAAAGAAGUGAGUGAAUUGGAAAAGCAACUUGGUGUCUCGGAAUUGGCUGGGAUGCCUGGUAGUUCUAGCAUAAGGGUGCAGCCUGCUUGUGCUAUUACAGGGGAAGGUUUACACGAAGGUCUGGACACUCUUUAUCAAUUGAUAUUAAAACGACGUAAAUUGGCCAAACUAAACAGGAAGAGGGCUAGGUAGGCCAGGGCUUCGGAAGACUGCACUUGCGUCUUCUGAUAUUGCCCACGGAUGAUCUCUUCUCUGAUAACGGAAAUGCCCACCGUGGGUCACUCCGUAUUAUCUUUUUCAUUCUUGUCAACUUUCUCACCCAUAUUGUUGACAGCUAAGAAGUGCUCAAUUAAAUAAAUAGAUGGCUAAAACAGCAAUAGCCCCGUCACAUCAAGUCUUACAAUCAAUUUAGUGUUGAAGAGCUGAGACUAAUCAAACUUGAUUAAGCAAAACAUCCGCACUUGUUAGACUAAGUCAUACAAGAUUGAUAGCUUCAUCUAAAGAAAAUUCUUUAUUCUAUAUAUAUAUGACUUGAAUUCAAUUCUGAUAAGAAGAGCAUACCAUCCACGUAGUUGGUGGAAUUUCAUAUUGUGGAUUAUCACUUUUUAAUUCAAGAUUUAAUAGAAGAUAUAUAUAUAUAUAUAAUAUAUCAUAUUAUAUUAUAUUAUUGUCUUCUAUUCGUUUAUAUAAAGUGUGAAUAAUGGUUUUACAUCUUAGAACCUUAUUGUAGUGCCACUUAGUCUGGAAGUGAUCAAAUUUGAAAAUGACAAAUCAUGAAAUACUAAUUUUGUUAAAGAAGAAGAGUAGUAUUACUAGAUCAGACUUUUAAAAAUUUUGGACUUAUCAUCGUGGUGAGAGACAUCACUGUUAACGGGACAAUAACUAAGAUUGAAGUGUCUAUUCAUGUGAACAUCCCAAUUGGAGUUUUGGAUUCACAAUAAACAUAUGGAGUAUUAGUACAUAUACUAUUAUUCCAAAAUCAGUUAUAAAUGUGGCAUGCAUUCUACUGGAGAAAGAAUAUAGUGUUUCAUCUGUUUCCAUUCAAACAUCGUACCUUCACUUAAGAGUGAUUGUCUAUAAGAAUCUUGGAUCUUAACUCUGAUUGGAAAAGUAUGAUUGUUCAAUGCGCCGUAUUAACCUCCAGGUCAUACAAUGACUUAGUAUGCAUCAUAAUGCAAAUAAAUAGUAUGCUAGCACUGAAAGAGGCAGUUACAAUUAGAGACUGUCUCAUUCUCAGGGCCUUUAUAAUAAUUCAGACCUCUUAUAUGAUAAUAAGAGGAUAACAUCAAGAAACUAGAUGCUCUCGAAUUACAUGAGUUUUAAGCGCAAACAAUAAGCAAGCACUGUUUGCACUUGUCAUUGCUAUAAUACCAAUAAUGUUACUGACAGUUAUCUAUGAAAAUGGGAGAUUAAGCAAAUUCAUAAGUUUAUAUGAAUACAGCGUAGCUUAUUAUAUUUAGCCAACAGAAAUACCUGUUGGCUAAGUUUAAGUGUACGACUUUUUUGGCCUUCAUAGAUUGCAGCAUUAGUCUGUAUAAUUGUCAUUUCAUUACCCAAGACAAAAGUUGGCAAUCAUUUGAUAUUAAAUACGGGACUUAUCGAUGUAGCUUCAGCCCCUGAAUUAACAUGAGUUAAUCUAGUGAGAUAUUUGUCUACUGUGAAAUUGUAUACAAAUGUUCCCAAUUUGUAAUAUACACUUUGGUGGAAAGCUUGUUUUCCCAUAUACUGGCAUUUGAAUCUGUAUAUUUGUGCUCAUUUUGUGCAUGUUUAGUGUUGAGUACAUACAUAAAAUCUCUUGUCAAUUUGUUUAAAUUUAUAAACGAUAUAUUAAUACUCGCUAAAGUGCUAUGUUUUAAUAGUGUGAAAUGUAGGAUUACAAAUUUCCCACAAAGUGUGUGAUUAAAAGAGUGAAAGACUGAUCAUUUAAUUUGAGACAGUAUAUCAACAAAACAACAGAGAAUGGAUUAUUAAGAAAAUGACAAGGAGUUGAUGUGAAAGGUCAGUUUAGAAAUUGUUUAAGAUUCUUUUUAAUAGUCCAUAAUAGCUAAUAGGUCGAUUCGCUGAGAUCAAUCAAUGUUAUGGAUGAAAACAUUCGAUGGGUAAUUUAAUGUCUGGUAGAGUACAAGUUAGAAAAUUGAAUAUAUUCUACGUACGUCUGUCUAAUCAGUGAGAAUUUUACCUCAUAUCAAUAAUGUGGUGUGAACUGCGAUUUUCAAAUUAUACAUAAUUUUAAAUACAAAAAAUCAGCACAUAAAAGAAACGUAAAACAAUACCUUGAAAAAAAUGUAAAUUUAUGUAAAAGCUGCAUAUUAUUGAUUUGAUGUUACUAUCGGCAGCUUUAUCAUAGAUUCAUUGAACCCUUAAAAAAAAGAAAACAAUCUGCGCUAAUACAUUACUCUUUAAAAAUCAAGUGCUCAGCCAUCGGCCUAAGAGAUGGAUGAAUGUGCUUCCUAAUGACAAAAAUCAUUAUUUAUAUAGUAGAAAAAGCUUUAGUAUAAUCGCAUAAUUACCCACGAGGUGACUUGCAUAAGUUUAGAAAUUCUGAUGAUAAUCGUAUUUCUGCGAUUUUUUGCACCUUUAUACCUUGAAGAAAAGAAUUUAAUUAUUCCCUUUGUAUGGGUGUUCUGAACUUAUUAUAGAUGGAAUUGUAAGUAGUAAAGAGAUCAAUUUUUUCCAACACAUGUAUGACGCAUUAACUUGUAUUAAAAUACAUAAUUACAUAUUAUUAAUUA
RNAcentral lists this unclassified non-coding RNA (4147 nucleotides) under Polistes dominula (European paper wasp). Its description in RNAcentral is "aDP-ribosylation factor-like protein 4C, transcript variant X3". The record is from RNAcentral. Lineage: Eukaryota; Metazoa; Arthropoda; Insecta; Hymenoptera; Vespidae.